AGAGUUUGAUCCUGGCUCAGGAUGAACGCUGGCGGCGUGCUUAACACAUGCAAGUCGAACGAAGCACUUAACUUGAUUUUCUUCGGAAAUGAUUGUUCUGUGACUGAGUGGCGGACGGGUGAGUAACGCGUGGGUAACCUGCCUCGCACAGGGGGACAACAGCUGGAAACGGCUGCUAAUACCGCAUAAGCGCACAGCUUCGCAUGAAGCAGUGUGAAAAACUCCGGUGGUGUGAGAUGGACCCGCGUCUGAUUAGCUGGUUGGUGAGGUAACGGCCCACCAAGGCGACGAUCAGUAGCCGACCUGAGAGGGUGACCGGCCACAUUGGGACUGAGACACGGCCCAAACUCCUACGGGAGGCAGCAGUGGGGAAUAUUGCACAAUGGGCGAAAGCCUGAUGCAGCGACGCCGCGUGAGCGAAGAAGUAUUUCGGUAUGUAAAGCUCUAUCAGCAGGGAAGAAAAUGACGGUACCUGACUAAGAAGCUCCGGCUAAAUACGUGCCAGCAGCCGCGGU
Molecule: ribosomal RNA, 515 nt
Filed under: uncultured bacterium
Lineage: Bacteria
Description: bacterial SSU rRNA
Rfam family: Bacterial small subunit ribosomal RNA
Source: RNAcentral